GGCCGCGGGGAUUCGAUUCAGGCCUAACACAUGCAAGUCGAACGAUGAAGCUGGAGCUUGCUCCGGUGGAUUAGUGGCGAACGGGUGAGUAACACGUGAGCAAUCUGCCCUUGACUCUGGGAUAACUGCGGGAAACUGUAGCUAAUACCGGAUAUCGCGCUUGGAGGCAUCUCUGGGCGCUGAAAGAAUUUCGGUCAAGGAUGAGCUCGCGGCCUAUCAGCUAGUUGGUGAGGUAAUGGCUCACCAAGGCGACGACAGGUAGCCGGCCUGAGAGGGUGACCGGCCACACUGGGACUGAGACACGGCCCAGACUCCUACGGGAGGCAGCAGUGGGGAAUAUUGCACAAUGAGGGAAAGCCUGAUGCAGCAA
Molecule: ribosomal RNA, 370 nt
Filed under: uncultured bacterium
Lineage: Bacteria
Description: bacterial SSU rRNA
Rfam family: Bacterial small subunit ribosomal RNA
Source: RNAcentral